GUCGUGAGAUGUUGGGUUAAGUCCCGCAACGAGCGCAACCCUUAUCCUAUGUUGCCAGCGGGUUAUGCCGGGGACUCGUAGGAGACUGCCGGGGUCAACUCGGAGGAAGGUGGGGACGACGUCAAGUCAUCAUGCCCCUUAUGCCCAGGGCUGCAAACACGCUACAAUGGCCGGUACAGAGGGCUGCGAUCCCGCGAGGGUGAGCGAAUCCCACAAAGCCGGUCUCAGUUCGGAUUGGAGUCUGCAACUCGACUCCAUGAAGCCGGAGUUGCUAGUAAUCCCGGAUCAGCACGCCGGGGUGAAUACGUUCCCGGGCCUUGUACACACCGCCCGUCACACCACGAAAGUCGGCAACACCCGAAGCCGGUGGCCCAACCCUUUUGGGAGGGAGCCGUCGAAGGUGGGGUCGGUGAUUGGGGUGAAGUCGUAACAAGGUAGCCGUACCGGAAGGUGCGGCUGGAUCACCUCCUUUCUAAGGAGUCCAUUCCACAUCGUUGGUGAUCGAAUGAUCGCCCGAUGUUUGGACACCCAGUUGGUGCACUGGUGGAUCGUCGUCAGCUGACCGCAGGGGUCGCAGGGUUCGUCCCUCCUACUGUGGAACGCCGCCGGCGACUACUGUCUUCUCUUCCGUUUUGAGGGAGUUGGAACUUCCAACACCUCGUUGCGCCUCUGCGUCGAGGCCGCCCCCGGGCGGAAUCCGCAAGCGCCGCACCACACCGUGGUUGCACCUUGAGAACUGCAGAGCAAGCACGAGCAUCUAAAUUUCUUAAUUGAACUUUAAUUUUGUUCUUUCCAAGCUACUAAGAGCCAACGGUGGAUGCCUUGGCGCCAAGAACCGAAGAAGGACGUGAGUGACUGCGAAAAGCUGCGGGGAGCCGUCUACUAGGCAUUGAUCCGCAGAUGU
This 904-nucleotide small RNA is filed under the name uncultured Actinomycetes bacterium. RNAcentral's name for it is "bacterial SSU rRNA". The stretch from base 1 to 472 matches the Rfam family "Bacterial small subunit ribosomal RNA", at positions 1064 to 1533 of the family's 1533-position model. The record is from RNAcentral. Lineage: Bacteria; Bacillati; Actinomycetota; Actinomycetes.